Molecule: small RNA, 3451 nt
Filed under: Pan troglodytes (chimpanzee)
Lineage: Eukaryota; Metazoa; Chordata; Mammalia; Primates; Hominidae
Description: processed transcript
Source: RNAcentral
CAUUCGAAUGAUUGUGAGGUGUCUGGGAAUGUAAUGGGUGGGAAAUCUACUAAGAAAUCAACUUACGUUACACUUAGAAAAGCUCUAGUUCUGAGGACAGAGACCUGAUGGAGUCACCAUAGUGGGAAUUUAUGACCUGGCAUCCAGUUCAGAUACCUGGAGCUUCUUGAGUGAGGGAAGAUUGGAUCCCUUGAGGAAGAGUGAAGCCUUCAAUGCUGCCACAAGUGUAUGCUGUAAAUCUUCCUCCAGGCCUUCCCCAGAAGGCCCUGAAGCCAUUUAUGUGGGUGACUGAGGAAAGGGAAAUACUCAGAGCUUCUGUGGCUUGUUGGAUGCUGGCUCUGAAGAAUGCUAAACUGAGGGCCCUGCGGUGGCCAUGAAAAUGCACUACUUGCAUCUCCAGCUGCAGGAGGCCUAACGAAUCAGCAGCCUCAGCUGCUACCCUCCGAAUGGAGGACUUGAUGACAUUUCCCCUGGAUCUGCACUAGCCCAUGAGGAGGAAAGCCUCCUAUCAAGUCCUCCCAGCAGAACACCCAUGAUGACUCAUGAGGAUGUUGAAGGUGUUUUCCUGUGGCACCUGUGACUUUCUUUCUUCAAAGUCUGUUUUGUUCCUGCACAUUAACUGAUUUAUAUAAAAUAAGAGAAUAAAUGCCUAGACUCCCAUGAGUCUAUCUUUUACUGAUAAACUCUAGUUCUGAGGACAGAAGCCUGAUGGAGUCAGUAUAGGGGGAAUUUAUAACCUGGCAUCCAGUUCAGAGACUUGGAGCUUCUUGACUGAGGGGAGAUCGGGUCCCUUUGGGGAAGAAAGAAGCCUUCAAUGUUGUCACAAGUGUAUCCUGGAAAUCUUCCUCUAAGCCUUCCUAGAGGGACCUGAUAACAUGACUUAUGAUACAGUGACCCCAAAUUCAGGGUGUUCUUGUCUACUCUCAAGAAUGCAAUAUCUUCUUCCUCUGAAUUGAACGUAGUACCAAUAUUUGUGUGUAGCUAUGCACCUUAAUAGACCAUAGCUGAUUAGAUGAGGAAUGGUAGACCCAAUUCAACCAUACAGGCAUCAACCAUAUCAGCAUACAGGCAUCCCUCUACCACCGUUUCCUUCUUGUCCCCACUCCAAAGCCUUCUCCAUUUUAUUUGUAUUAAUUUUCUAUUGCUGCAUACUAAAUUACUGCAAGCAUUAGCGGCGUAAAAUAAGAAUGAUUUAUUUUCUUGCAGUGUCCACAGAUCAGAAGUUCAGGCCUGGAUUCGCUGGGUCUUCUUCUCAGGGCCUCACAGGCUGAAAUUAGGCUGGGUUUCUUUCUGGAGGUUCUGGGGAAGAACUUCCUCUCAAGUUUCCUCAGGUUGUCAGCUGAGUUCAGUUCCUUGUGACUGUAGGACUGAGAUCUCUGUUUUCUUGCUGGCUGUCAGCCAGGGGCCUCUCGCUGUUCCUAGAGGCCUCCCAUGUUCCCACUGCAUGCUUCCUCCAGCCAGCAGAGGAGGAUCGCCCUGCAUGGAAACGCUCCUGCACUUCACAUCUCUCCAGGAAGUCCUCGGUCCCUCCAAGGAACUCACCUUCACUAGGUCACGCUCAUCAGAUAAUCUGUCUAUCUUAAAUUUGACCGAUUUGGGAUCUCGAUUACAUCUGUUAACUUGUUUUUGCCAUAAAUUGUAACACAAUCGCAGGAGUGACAUCUCCUCAGUAGCUUUGUCUACACUCAGGAAGAAGUGAUUAUAUAAGAGCAAAGAUCACUGGGGGUCAUCUUAGGAUUCUGUCUACCAUAAUAUUAUAAAGACACAGUAAUUAAAAGAGUAUAACAGAUUUCUGCUUCUGUCUGUUAGAAUAAAUCAUAUCAGACUAACCCUGCCUCCAUAAACAAACAUAAAAUUGUUUUCAGCAGUGUACAACUGGCAGUCCAAGAGAAAACUUAAGGGGGAAGCCCCAUGAUUUCCUAGUUCUUUGGGGAGAAUUUCUCAGCAGCUGCAUAGUGAGCUAGAGUCCACUCAGGGCAGGGCAGCUCACUGAGCUGAGAAGGCAGAGAUCAGAGUUCAAGACCGCUGAAGCAACUGCAAUCUGCAGGGCAGGGCACCAAUGAGGAGAGAGCUGAUCAAAGGUGCAGCUCUCAACGUCUAUGUGGGGUUCCAUGUGCAUACUUAUCAAGGAGUGGACUCUACCUGCACAAGGAAAAGACUAACAGAUUUAACAGAGGGGUGGCUGCUAUGAAAUUGAGUUUGGACCGGAGGUACUUGAGGUGGAGGAGGGUUGGGGAAUGUAUGAUGGAGUUUCUGCCAUCCAUGGUGGGAAGAACUCAUGCACACCUCAUUAGCACCCAGGUAUCCAACUGAGACACUAGAAUGGAUGUGCUUUAGGAAUAAGUGUCACACUUUUCAAUAAGGCCUAUUGUAGACCAACCUGCUGAAGCCUAAAAGCAAACCCUGACAAAUUCACAAAGGGGUGGAUUGGUGAUUGAGUCCUGCCAAAUUAGAGGGUCUUGGGAAAUGCUGUGGGCUUUCCAUGAAUCCGUUGUAAUAAAACAUAAACCAGUCCACAUAAGUCCAAAGUGAUCAGACAGUAAUUUUACUGCCCACUAGAACAAAAUUAAUUCACACAAUCAAUGACACAUGUUAGCCAGGUCGACAUUUAAGCAAAAUACAUCUAACAACAGCUAACAAAUAACUCUUCUCAAACUCACAUAGAGCAUUCAGCAAGAUAGACCACAUGUGCUGAGCCAUCCUUAGUAUUUUCUUUCCUUUCUCUUUGACUCGUGUAUAGUGUGCUCAAACUCUUAAAAUUAUACACUUUAAUGAUUAUACACUUUCAUGCAUCUCAAUUGCAUGUAAGUUAUAUUUCAAUAUAUUUGUUAAAAGUUUAUAAUUAAAAAAACUGUCCUAGCUUGAUUCAAGAAAUCUUUUUUAUAUUUAAGAAAAUGUAAUGUUAUAUAUUAUCAAGGCAAAAGAGAAAAACCAUAUGAUUACCUUGUCAUACACAGUAAAAGCAUUUGGCAAAAUUGAAAACUUUUUUCAUGAUUUAUGAAAACAAACCCCAGAAAACUCUCAGCAUGAUAAGAAGAGAAGGCAACACUUUCAACCCUAUUAAGGGUAGAUUUGAAAAAAACUCAGAGGUAACAUUAUAUUAAAUGGCAUAGGAUUGAAUGCUUUUCUAUUAAAUCAGAGAAAAAAGUAGAAUAUCUGUUGUUAUUCUUUCAAUUCAGCAUUAUACUAGAGAUCUAAAUCAAUGCAAUAAAGUAAGAAAAAUAAAUAAAAGUAUUGAAAAGAUUGAAAAGAAAGAAUUGAAGCUGUCUUUAUUCACAGAUAAUGACUGUGUAUGUUAAUAAUCCUAGAAAUCUACAAAAAUCUGCCAAAACUAAUUAGUGAGUUCGGUAAUGUUGCAGAAUAUAAGCUCAAUAGAAGUAGUCUUUUGUAUUUCUGUGUAUUAGCAAUGAGCAUUUGGAAAAUGAAAUAAAAAUACAAUUUCAUUUCAAGU